This is an RNA transcript of Eucalyptus grandis, 3039 nucleotides long. It is a transcript of the gene named protein FLX-like 1, with no coding region annotated. NCBI's taxonomy places the organism in Eukaryota, Viridiplantae, Streptophyta, Magnoliopsida, Myrtales, Myrtaceae. The transcript is spliced from 7 exons. The record is from RefSeq and is a predicted model, not a curated record.
AUGUCGGGAAGAAAUCGUGGUCCGCCUCUUCCGCUGAAAGGUGUGCCCCCUCAUGCAGGGCGUCCUCCUUCCAUCCGUGAGCCUCCGUUUGGUAGAGGCCUGGGAGCAAUGCCACAUCCAGCUUUGCUGGAGGAAUUGCGCGAAUCCCAACUGGGCAUGGGCCCGGGGAGGCGCCCUCCUCACCCUGCCAUUAUCGAGGAGCGUCUCGCUGCUCAACAUGAAGACAUUCAAGGGCUUUUGGUUGAUAAUCAGAGGUUAGCCGCAACACAUGUUGCUCUUAAGCAGGAACUGGAAGCUGCCCAGUACGAGUUGCAAAAGAUGCUGCAGAUCUCGGAUUCCUUACGAGCGGAGAAGGAUGUUCGGAUGAGGGAAUUGUAUGACAAAUCAGUGAGGCUGGAAGUGGAUCUGCGUGCGGUGGAUGCUAUGAGGGGUGAGCUUGGUCAGGUCAAUGCAGAUAUUAAGGAGCUUACGGGUGUAAGACAAGAGCUUACUGGGCAGGUGCAGGCAAUGACUCAAGAUUUGGGUAGGAUGACGGCUGACCUACAGCAGGUGCCAGCAUUGCGGGCAGAGAUUGAGACCAUGAAGCAGGAAGUACAGCGCGCUAGAGCUGCUAUCGAGUAUGAAAAGAAAGGAAGUGCCGAUAAUUAUGAGCAUGGUCAGGUGAUGGAGCAGAACUUGAUUUCCAUGGCCCGUGAGUUGGAGAAGCUUCGAGCAGAGAUUGCUAAUGCAGAGAAGAGAGCUCGUGCUGCUGCUGCUGUUGGCAAUCCAGGCUACAAUACAGCUUACAGCAAUCCUGAAGUUAGUUAUGCUGGGAAUCCUUAUCCAGCUGGAUAUGGCAUGAAUCCCGUUCCUGCUGGUCUGGAAGGCUACCCCCAAUAUGGACACAUGCCUGCUGCUUGGGGUGCAUAUGCUCCUCCUGGACACAGAUAGACUAGAUUUGCAUACCGAUAGGUCUGGCUCUUCUCUUAAAUUCUUUAAUGAUCUUGGUUGAAAGUUCAUCUCCAACAAUUGCUUAACUGAUAACUGUGUUGUUGGAGCUUCCAUUCAUUAAUAUGACUUGCUACCCUUUGGCCAAGUUCCUUAGAUUGGUACAUCACAACCCUGGUGGUAAGUUUUUAGAGGAAGAUGUCAUGGAUAAGUCCAACUUCAAUAAUUCUAACAUCAUAAGGACUCUAUGAAGUGAGUACUCCUUGAGAAUGUCACUGUCUAUGUGUGAUCUGAUACAUCAUUUUGAGUGCAGCCUUUGGAUCAGCAUAUUAUAUUAGACUUUCAAGGUUUGUAGUAUUACUUAGAUUAAUUGGAAUAGAUGAGAGAUCUUAGUCAUCAACCUUGCCAAAAACACAUCUUAGUCAUCGACCCUGCAAAAACCACUAUGUAAGACAGGUGGUAGAAUAUAGAUUGAGAAUGACAUGCGAAGCCUGUCUAAGAAGUGUCUGGAUUCCAGAUUCCGGAUUCCAUCUUCAGCUUUUCCAUGACAUUUAAAUGGUGUAAAGUGGUUUAGCUCACUAUGUAGUCCAACAUGAAUUUUGUGACCCAUUCCCAUGAUUUUUGUGGGAACUUAUAUCACAGUUAACUCUUCUUUGUAAUCCAACCAAAAAAAAGGAAACUCCUCUUUGUGCUUGGAGUCUCGGUUGAUUUCCCUUAUCCAUUCCCAUAACUUUUGUGGGAUCUUUUCAUCAUAGUCAGCUCUUAUCCAUGCUUGGAGUAGUCUGAUUUCUUCAUGUUUCUUUCUCAUCUCUGGUGAGGUCUUUAGUGAUGCUAUUUCAUGUGGUUUGCUUUUGUUUGUGGCCUAUUUUGGGCUGUAGAAUAUUCAUCUGUUGCGAGGCUCCAGAAGCUGGCCACUACUAAUUUUGGCUUUCAGCCGAGGGAGAUUACUUCCUCCAAUUUGGGUUUUUGGUCUUGGCAAGGCUGACUUAUGGCAGAAAUUUUAUCUGUGGGAAAUGCUUUGGAUUAUAUGGACAACCUCCUUUAGUAUGAUACCAGACUUGUGACAUCUAGAGAUAGCAGCUAUCUUUCUCUGCCUCUCACAAAAGAUAAGAAAAGUUUCUCAUGCUUCUAGUAUGGAGUUGUUGCAUUUAGGAGUAUGACUGUCCCCAUCAAUUUGGGCAGUUGAAUAGAUUUAAUGAACAGUUUUAGCUGGUGAAGUUUGUGCCCUUGGUUUCUCCUUUCAAGGAAAUUUUUUGAUUUAAGAUCUUUAUUCAUCUCAUUCCGUUGCCGAAAAGCAGCAGCCAGGUAUUCAUUGCUUGUGCCUUCUAACUGAAAGAUAUUCAACUAUGAUGCUGCAGGAUCAUUUCAUGGUCGAGUAAGUGCUGUGUGUCUUAAGAUAUUGUCCUCUAUUGUGUUCUUUCUGCAUUUGUUUUCCUUGGUUGUGGUUACUCUCACACAGGGAUACUUGGAGGAUAUAAUUGAAGCUGUUGUUAACCCAAACAAGAAUACUGGUUACUGCUUCUGUGCUCCAGCGCCCUGUAUAUGGGCUAUGUUUCAGUUACUGAUCAUUAUCGAAUGAGAACGACGAUGGACAUGUCAAUGCCGUGCAGUGGGAGAGAGUGCUGCAUAGUUUAUAGUAUGGGAAGCAAUGGAGUUGCCGGGGAUUGUGAGUGUGAUUGAAAGGACAGGACCCUCACCUGACGACUGUCAGAAGAGCAUGCUGAGUGCACCUUCUGCCGCUGAUGCAAAUUACAGGUUGAGGAACUUGGGGACCGCACUCUUGUCAUGAAAAAUCGUUGCUGAGCUGUGAAACAUAUGACCUUUGUUAUCUUGGUCCGUUCAAGUUUCGGACAGAAUUCAAUGCCUUUCCCAUCUUUUUGGUUAGCUUUGGCAAGAUACGGCAAGGUCGCCAUGGCUCCACUUUGCCAAUUAUUAUCGUGAAUAGUAAUACCGUGAGUAGCCUUUUACAGACAAAUAUGGAGCGUCAAAGAGCAAAAUCGAGCAUCAUUGAACUUGUUUGCACCCUGUAUUUGUUUUUGUGAGUGUUGCUUCUGACUUGGCUCUGUAGAGAUGUUCACAAAGGAUAAAUUUCCAUCUACCCAUUUGCGAGUA